UAUUGCGGCUCAGUUGGUAGAGCACUGCACUAAAAACACAAAGCUUGUGGGUUCAAAUCCCAGGGAAAGCAAAAA
This is a non-coding RNA of Danionella cerebrum, 75 nucleotides long. The record is from the annotation of a GenBank genome assembly. NCBI's taxonomy places the organism in Eukaryota, Metazoa, Chordata, Actinopteri, Cypriniformes, Danionidae.